AACGGUCUAUACCUGCGGUACCUGCGGAAGGAUCAUUACCGAGUUUACAACUCCCAAACCCCUGUGAACAUACCACUCGUUGCCUCGGCGGAUCACCGCGCCCCGUGAAACGGGCCGGCCCGCCAGAGGACCUAAACUCAAAUGUUUUAUUGUAUCUUCUGAGUAAAAACACAAAUAAAUCAAAACUUUCAGCAAUGGAUCUCU
RNAcentral lists this unclassified non-coding RNA (204 nucleotides) under soil metagenome. RNAcentral's name for it is "partial contains 5.8S ribosomal RNA, internal transcribed spacer 2, and large subunit ribosomal RNA". The record is from RNAcentral.